AUUGAACGCUGGCGGCAGGCUUAACACAUGCAAGUCGAGCGGGGAAGAGUAGCUUGUUACUUAACCUAGCGGCGGACGGGUGAGUAAUGCUUAGGAAUCUGCCUAUUAGUGGGGGACAACAUCUCGAAAGGGAUGCUAAUACCGCAUACGUCCUACGGGAGAAAGCAGGGGACCUUCGGGCCUUGCGCUAAUAGAUGAGCCUAAGUCGGGUUAGCUAGUUGGUGGGGUAAAGGCCUACCAAGGCGACGAUCUGUAGCGGGUCUGAGAGGAUGAUCCGCCACACUGGGACUGAGACACGGCCCAGACUCCUACGGGAGGCAGCAGUGGGGAAUAUUGGACAAUGGGGGGACCCCUGAUCCAGCCAUGCCGCGUGUGUGAAGAAGGCCUUUUGGUUGUAAAGCACUUUAAGCGAGGAGGAGGCUACCGAGAUUAAUACUCUUGGAUAGUGGACGUUACUCGCAGAAUAAGCACCGGCUAACUCUGUGCCAGCCGCCGCAGUAA
Molecule: ribosomal RNA, 501 nt
Filed under: uncultured bacterium
Lineage: Bacteria
Description: partial 16S ribosomal RNA
Rfam family: Bacterial small subunit ribosomal RNA
Source: RNAcentral